This 611-nucleotide long non-coding RNA is filed under the name Coturnix japonica (Japanese quail). Its description in RNAcentral is "lncRNA (ENSCJPG00005008215.1)". Lineage: Eukaryota; Metazoa; Chordata; Aves; Galliformes; Phasianidae. The record is from RNAcentral.
GGGGACAUUGCUAGGGCCUGAUCCACCACUGUAAAAGCAUCUGAAGUGCUGUGAAGCUGGGUGGCAUGCCAGUACACAGCACUACAAAUGCAUCGUUGCUGGCAGUGCUGUGAAGUAAAGAGAGAGCCUGGCUGACUGUCAUAUCUCACCUUGGCUCUUCAGGAUGAAAGUUACAUGUAUAGCAACUUUUGAGGUGCUCUCCAACAUAUUUGAUUGAGAAUGUACAGAGUCCUUUGUUGCUGUUUUCAUCAAGUUGCUUCUCAGAGCAGCGUAGCAGAGUAACUGUUGUUUAAGACAAGAGUAGUGCAAAAAAAAAAAGUAACAAAUUACUCUUUCAGGGAGGCUUAUCAGUGGACGAGGUACCCAAGAUGUGGAGAUGCAUUAAAAGGAAAAUAAUUCAGGUGAAGAACACCUGCUUGGCUGAGAACACCAUUAGAAGUUCCUUUUGUAUCCUUCAGCGCACUUCUACAGUGUUCCUGUCUUCACAAGGCUCUAAUUGGGGGAGAAAAACAAGUAAAGCGCAAAAAAAGGAAAGCCAGCAGGUGCAGGUAAAAGUAUCUCCACAUAUGCCCAUGGAACUACAUAAGAACCAACAGAGAGAUCUUAUCUGA